Mauremys mutica (yellowpond turtle) is the source of this 183-nucleotide long non-coding RNA. RefSeq lists it as uncharacterized. The record is from RefSeq and is a predicted model, not a curated record. The transcript is spliced from 3 exons. NCBI's taxonomy places the organism in Eukaryota, Metazoa, Chordata, Testudines, Geoemydidae.
GGGGGGUCCUCUCUCCUGAAAGUCAGGGAGCUCCAGCGCCUCAGCCUGGCAAUGGGAGGCUCAAUCUGCAGGGAGCAGGGUGAGGCUGUUACUUGGCUCUCCCACCCCAGAGCCAGCUGCACCUUGGCGCCAGUCGAGCUGAUUCCUUGGCGCGCUCCCGGAACAACUCAAGGGCCUGCGCUG